CCUACGGGGGGCAGCAGUGAGGAAUAUUGGUCAAUGGACGAGAGUCUGAACCAGCCAAGUAGCGUGAAGGAUGACUGCCCUAUGGGUUGUAAACUUCUUUUAUAUGGGAAUAAAAUGUUCCACGUGUGGGAUUUUGUAUGUACCAUAUGAAUAAGGAUCGGCUAACUCCGUGCCAGCAGCCGCGGUAAUACGGAGGAUCCGAGCGUUAUCCGGAUUUAUUGGGUUUAAAGGGAGCGUAGGUGGAUUGGUAAGUCAGUUGUGAAAGUUUGCGGCUCAACCGUAAAAUUGCAGUUGAAACUGGCAGUCUUGAGUACAGUAGAGGUGUGCGGAAUUCGUGGUGUAGCGGUGAAAUGCUUAGAUAUCACGAAGAACUCCGAUUGCGAAGGCAGUUCACUGGACUGCAACUGACACUGAGGCUCGAAAGUGUGGGUAUCAAACAGGAUUAGAUACCCGGGUAGUC
Molecule: ribosomal RNA, 460 nt
Filed under: uncultured bacterium
Lineage: Bacteria
Description: partial 16S ribosomal RNA
Rfam family: Bacterial small subunit ribosomal RNA
Source: RNAcentral